Molecule: long non-coding RNA, 794 nt
Organism: Salvelinus sp. IW2-2015
Lineage: Eukaryota; Metazoa; Chordata; Actinopteri; Salmoniformes; Salmonidae
Source: RefSeq, a predicted model, not a curated record
GCUUGUUGUAACAUGGUUUGUUCUCUACAGAAGGCUUGUUGAAUCAUUGUAAUCCCUGACAAAGGAUGAAAUGCAUCAGAGUUUAGAAUGUUCUGUACUAUUGAACGUACCAUAAUGAUAAAGGCAUUUAGCUAUAUGAAGAAUGCCUUGCUCCUCCUGGUUCUCUUACCCUCCUUACCAAAGAAAACAUUUGUCUUUGUUGCACACUUGUUAAAGACAGCAGUCUAGCAAUGUGUCUGAAGUGGUGGUUUAAUGAAGUGUGUCGUUGCAGGUGGACCUUCGUUACAAGACAGCCUUCCACUCUCCCGUAUGUCUAAUUGAUACCUGGUUGUGUGUCAGUGGGGACUGUGGGAAUGAGACCAGGCUAGUGCUUAAGAUAGUGGACCAGGGGAUAUCUGAGGGUUGGUGUCAGACAGAAGAAGUCAUGACUAGAAAGGUCUCCGAUAACACACAGACUUUUGAUCUGCGAUUGGAUGGCGGAAACUGGAUAGACAAUGCUAAUUCUGUUUUAGAUUGGGGGCUAUUGACUCAUGUGGAUCUUGGGGUCAGGUCUGACACGGGGACAGUCAACCGAUCUCCACAGACCACUGUCAUUCCUCUGAUGUGUGUCCCUGCUAAUUGUCAAAGAGAUUUCAACCUGUUGUCGUUUGAUCCAGAUGAGGAUAAGGUCAGAUGCAGAUAUGCAGUACCAACGGAUGAGUGUKUCACAUCAAGURACCUUCCUAAUGACUUCACUCUACUAGAGGUUAGUAUCCAAGUAAAACAACACAGACAACGAUGGACUAUGAUGAUGA